AUCNGGCUACCAUGCAAGUCGAGGGGCAGCAUUUCAGUUUGCUUGCAAACUGGAGAUGGCGACCGGCGCUCGGGUGAGUAACACGUAUCCAACCUGCCGAUAACUCGGGGAUAGCCUUUCGAAAGAAAGAUUAAUACCCGAUGGNAUAAUCAGACCGCAUGGUCUNAUUAUUAAAGAAUUUCGGUUAUCGAUGGGGAUGCGUUCCAUUAGGCAGUUGGUGAGGUAACGGCUCACCAAACCUUCGAUGGAUAGGGGUUCUGAGAGGAAGGUCCCCCACAUUGGAACUGAGACACGGUCCAAACUCCUACGGGAGGCAGCAGUGAGGAAUAUUGGUCAAUGGGCGCAGGCCUGAACCAGCCAAGUAGCGUGAAGGAUGACUGCCCUAUGGGUUGUAAACUUCUUUUAUAUGGGAAUAAAGUUUUCCACGUGUGGAAUUUUGUAUGUACCAUAUGAAUAAGGAUCGGCUAACUCCGUGCCAGCAGCCGCGGUAAUACGGAGGAUCCGAGCGUUAUCCGGAUUUAUUGGGUUUAAAGGGAGCGUAGGUGGACAGUUAAGUCAGUUGUGAAAGUUUGCGGCUCAACCGUAAAAAUUGCAGUUGAUACUGGCUGUCUUGAGUACAGUAGAGGUGGGCGGAAUUCGUGGUGUAGCGGUGAAAUGCUUAGAUAUCACGAAGAACUCCGAUUGCGAAGGCAGCUCACUGGACUGCAACUGACACUGAUGCUCGAAAGUGUGGGUAUCAAACAGGAUUAGAUACCCUGGUAGUCCACACAGUAAACGAUGAAUACUCGCUGUUUGCGAUAUACAGUAAGCGGCCAAGCGAAAGCAUUAAGUAUUCCACCUGGGGAGUACGCCGGCAACGGUGAAACUCAAAGGAAUUGACGGGGGCCCGCACAAGCGGAGGAACAUGUGGUUUAAUUCGAUGAUACGCGAGGAACCUUACCCGGGCUUAAAUUGCAUUUGAAUANUNUGGAAACAGNUUAGCCGCAAGGCAAAUGUGAAGGUGCUGCAUGGUUGUCGUCAGCUCGUGCCGUGAGGUGUCGGCUUAAGUGCCAUAACGAGCGCAACCCUUAUCUUUAGUUACUAACAGGUCAUGCUGAGGACUCUAGAGAGACUGCCGUCGUAAGAUGUGAGGAAGGUGGGGAUGACGUCAAAUCAGCACGGCCCUUACGUCCGGGGCUACACACGUGUUACAAUGGGGGGUACAGAAGGCAGCUACCUGGUGACAGGAUGCUAAUCCCAAAAGCCUCUCUCAGUUCGGAUCGAAGUCUGCAACCCGACUUCGUGAAGCUGGAUUCGCUAGUAAUCGCGCAUCAGCCAUGGCGCGGUGAAUACGUUCCCGGGCCUUGUANACAGGCGCCCGUCAAGCCAUGAAAGCCGGGGGUACCUGAAGUACGAACCGCAAGGAGCUCCAGUAA
This 1415-nucleotide ribosomal RNA is filed under the name bacterium NLAE-zl-P350. Its description in RNAcentral is "bacterial SSU rRNA". It matches the Rfam family "Bacterial small subunit ribosomal RNA". The record is from RNAcentral.